UCCCUCUGAAGUUUCGCUCAGGAUAGCUGGAGUACGUAAUGAAGCUGUUAUAUUCGGUAAGGCGAAUAAUCAGAGGAAUUGUGAGACGAAACGUGUUCAACCUAUUCUCAAACUUUCAAUGAGUAUGACGUCUUGCUUGCUUGAAUGAAGCGUA
This is a non-coding RNA of Onchocerca flexuosa, 154 nucleotides long. NCBI's taxonomy places the organism in Eukaryota, Metazoa, Nematoda, Chromadorea, Rhabditida, Onchocercidae. The record is from Rfam.